GAUGAACGCUGGCGGCGUGCCUAAUACAUGCAAGUCGAGCGAACGGACGAGAAGCUUGCUUCUCUGAUGUUAGCGGCGGACGGGUGAGUAACACGUGGAUAACCUACCUAUAAGACUGGGAUAACUUCGGGAAACCGUAGCUAAUACCGGAUAAUAUUUUGAACCGCAUGGUUCAAAAGUGAAAGACGGUCUUGCUGUCACUUAUAGAUGGAUCCGCGCUGCAUUAGCUAGGUGGUAAGGUAACGGCUUACCAAGGCAACGAUGCAUAGCCGACCUGAGAGGGUGAUCAGCCACACUGGAACUGAGACACGGUCCAGACUCCUACGGGAGGCAGCAGUAGGGAAUCUUCCGCAAUGGGCGAAAGCCUGACGGAGCAACGCCGCGUGAAUGAUGAAGGUCUUCGGAUCGUAAAACUCUGUUAGUAGGGAAGAACAUAUGUGUAAGUAACUGUGCACAUCUUGACGGUACCUAAUCAGAAAGCCACGGCUAACUACGUG
RNAcentral lists this ribosomal RNA (497 nucleotides) under uncultured bacterium. RNAcentral describes it as "partial 16S ribosomal RNA". It matches the Rfam family "Bacterial small subunit ribosomal RNA", at positions 28 to 507 of the family's 1533-position model. The record is from RNAcentral.